AGAUUUUGACCAGAUUUUUCUUUCUAUUUUGCAGAUUGCGAGUCCAGUAACAACAAACAAAAAUCAAUUUGAAGGAUCAAAAGCAAAAAUUAGGGUUUGUCUUUAUUUGGUCAGAUUCAUUCAGGUUAACGUCCCGGACGGUUAACGUGGCGUGUUGCUAUUGGACACUCGCUUAUAUGGUGGUUGUUGUAGUAUGUUCUAGUGAUGUGUGCCCGUGACUACUCGUGUUGCUUUAGAUUUUCGUGAUUUUUAAGGAUUUUUAUUAACGAGUUGUUAAAUAA
Gossypium raimondii (Peruvian cotton) is the source of this 281-nucleotide long non-coding RNA. RefSeq lists it as uncharacterized. The record is from RefSeq and is a predicted model, not a curated record. Lineage: Eukaryota; Viridiplantae; Streptophyta; Magnoliopsida; Malvales; Malvaceae. The transcript is spliced from 2 exons.